CAAAGCUGACUUCUGGCUUCUUUUCUUGAUCUCCUUUGUUGGGAUUGGCACUGGCAUUACUGUUCUGAAUAACCUGGCACAGAUAGGAAUAGCUCAAGACAUGAAUGAUACAAAGUUCCUGUUAGCUCUCUUCAGCUUCUGUAGUUUUAUCGGCCGCCUUGGUGGAGGUGUGGCUUCUGAAUAUUUCGUCAGGUCAGGGUAACUUGUCCAUUUAAGAUAGCAAACUUAAGAAAUAGGAAAUAAAUUGUUGGGAUGGCGAAAAUAAGAAAAUAUCAACAAGAAGCUAAGCCCCUGUAUGUCUCCCUUUUUUCGAAACUUUUUUUUUCUCAAACUCAUUUUUAACCACACAUUCAAUUUAAGAAUCUUCCUGGCGAAUGGCCUAUUCUCCCCGGUCGGAAUAGGUAGGAUAAUUCCUUCCUUAGAACCGUACUUGAGAGUUUCCCAGUAAGCAAACAGGGAACCCAUGGGUAUUUGAAUCCAAGUAUCCAGGAAAAGCCAAAGUAUUUGACCCAUUUGACACGUGCAAUUUCUCUUCAGUCAAUACGUCCUGCAAUUUGUAUUACUUAUUCAAUUGAAAGUCCUGAUCCAAUUCAAAAAUUAUGUUUCGAAAUUUCAUGAUCGAAACUCUUUUUUUUUCUCAAAACUUAUUUUCAACCAUACAUUCAUGCGAUAAAAUAUUUUGCACGUAAAUUUAAUUUUUUUCUACAUUUUGACCAUAUAUACUGCCAAAAAAUCACUAUUUAAAAAAUCAUUUUCCCCCAGGAACUGUUUAAAAAGGGGGACAAAUAGAGGCUAAGUCUUGUUCUAGUAAAUGUGGGUUCCACUCCAUGGAUCUUUUUCGCCACUCUAUUCAGUUCAUUGCUAGAGUUAUUGGGAGAUAUAAAGCUAUUAGAUCUUAAGCAACUAAAACUUGCCUUUUGUAUUAGAAUCCAUGUCAUAAGAUUUGAAAAUGUUUACAUGUCGACUUGCCACAACUUCCUCCUUUUACCCAUACUCGGGACCAGCUAUUUAAAACAUAGGCAGAUGAUGUUGACACCUACUAUUUUCAGAUUCACCUUAAAAGUACCUCUAAACAUUUGAUGAAUUAGUUGAGUACGCAUUAUAAAGAUUUACAUUGAACACACACAAAAGAUUUAGUAUGAGAAAUUGUCACGAGUUACCGAAAAGUUUCUUCCAUAUAUCCAAGAUAAUAUUCUUUUUUUUUUUUUUCCUAAACAACAGAAUAUUGUAUUUUUCCCCCUUUUCACCACAUUCAGCUUAUUCACUAGGUUUUCUUAUCCAACAGCUCUUGACCUUUUCCCAAAAUUAUCUUGACUUUGACGGGACGUUAAAGAUUUGGAAAGAUUUUUUGAUAUCAUCUGUGAUUUUUUUUGUGAUUUCUUACAUUAUUUCUGAUUGUGCAAUUAGUAUAAAAAUGUUACCUUUUAUAUUAAUUUGUAACUCUAUAUUAGGUUCCUUGUCAUUGCAAUUCCUAUGCACAAGAGUACUUCAGCCAAAUUUCCCUAUUGUUUUUGGCAUUUCUUGUUCCAAUAUUGAAUUUAUAGUUCUAAGAUGAAGAAUGCUAUCUCAUAAUAUAGUAUUUCAUUACGAUAUUUAUCUUGUAACAUGCUAUAAUUUGCCAUGUAAAUGUACUUGCAGAUCAAAAGCAAUCCCCAGGACAGUUUGGAUUGUAGUUGCACAAGUAACAAUGGUAGUGACAUACCUUCUCUUUGCUUCAGCUCUUGAUGGUACUCUUUAUGCUGCAACGUUGUUGCUUGGAAUCUGCUAUGGCAUUCACGGUUCUGUCAUUACCCCUGCAGUCUCUGAGCUUUUUGGCCUUAAACACUUUGGUAUUAUUUCGAAUCUCAUGG
Molecule: long non-coding RNA, 1850 nt
Filed under: Olea europaea (common olive)
Lineage: Eukaryota; Viridiplantae; Streptophyta; Magnoliopsida; Lamiales; Oleaceae
Description: long non-coding RNA (OEUR_LNC014930)
Source: RNAcentral